RNAcentral lists this ribosomal RNA (119 nucleotides) under Phaseolus vulgaris (common bean). Lineage: Eukaryota; Viridiplantae; Streptophyta; Magnoliopsida; Fabales; Fabaceae. The record is from RNAcentral.
UGGUGCGAUCAUACCAACUCUAAUGCAUUGGAUCCCAUCAGAACUCCACAGUGAAGCGUGCUUGGGCGAGAGUAGUACUAGGACGGGUGACAUCCAUGGAAGUCCUUGUGUUGCACUUC